This 247-nucleotide ribosomal RNA is filed under the name uncultured bacterium. RNAcentral describes it as "partial 16S ribosomal RNA". It matches the Rfam family "Bacterial small subunit ribosomal RNA", at positions 1258 to 1500 of the family's 1533-position model. The record is from RNAcentral.
UGAGGUGGAGGCAAAACUCAAAAACUUAGUCUCAGUUCGGAUUGUAGGCUGAAACUCGCCUACAUGAAGCUGGAGUUGCUAGUAAUCGCGAAUCAGCAUGUCGCGGUGAAUACGUUCCCGGGCCUUGUACACACCGCCCGUCACACCAUGAGAGUUGGCAAUACCCAACGUACGUGAUCUAACCCGCAAGGGAGGGAGCGUCCUAAGGUAGGGUCAGCGAUUGGGGGUGAAGUCGUAACAAGGUAAC